ACCAAGAGUGAUCAACUGACCCGGGCAGCCAGAAGAGAUGAUAGGGAUACAUAUUCUUAACGGUGAUGGAGUGGUUUCAUAGAACAAAAUAGGCUGUUCCUGCCCGAGGGAACAUGGACUUCAGUGGAAGAGACACUCAGAAGAGAGCUGCGAAACAAGUAAGAAUUUCAGAUUGUGCUCAGUUCUUUGAAGAAAAACACAUGGGAUAAGUGAGAGACGUGUGACUCUGGGGGCAGAGGCUGUGUGGUCAGGAGGGGGCCCGUCAGUCAAAAGGCCUUGGUUGCCAAGCCAUUGAAACUCCUUCUGCGUCAUGUUGGGCAGAUUACAAUGUAGAUGAUUCCGUAGCUGGGCUGCAGCACCGUCCCUGGAGAGCACAUGACAGGAAUGCAUGUUGGGCAGGAUGUGAAGUUGAGCCCUGGGCUGAAGCAAACUUAACCCCACCUGCGGACAGGACACUUCUGAAGCCGCUGCCUCGGCUUCCACCAGAAGCUGCAUCUCUGUGCUGCUAGAGAUGGAGAGCCCUGUCUUAGCUGGUUCAGUCGGGGCUGAGUAUUCAGCAGCUAAAGCUGCAUGUACUGUGACCUUCUGAGCCAAAGGCAGGGAAAGAUUGUUCAUUAUUAGUGUCUGGAAAUACAGUGAUUUUGGUAUGUGGUAUGUAAAGUAUUUUAAAAAAACAUAUAGUUUGAGUAAAACUGUUGGUGGUAGGCUAAAAGCUCCUUAAAAACAGGAAGCAUGACUGAAUCACUCUGGUUUCCUCCACUUUCCCAGACAGAAGAGUCACCAACGCAGCCUCCUUGCUCAGGCUGCGCUGCCCCAACUACAGUCAGGGACCCCCCCGCCUUCCCUCUGCUGGGAGGCACCAGCCACCUGUGACUAGUGUCCUGACACCUCCCAUGUCCCCAGCAGACACCUGCCACAGUUGCGUUCGGGGAGAACCCGAGCAAUUAGCCAGCAGCGCCCCCUGGCGCCUCUUUCACCGCAAGUGUUCGGCUCUCAACUUGUUCAACCACCCUCCACCCGCUCCACGGGCAACUUUUCCGGGAAGGCGCCUCCAAAGACCUCUGUGAGUAGCGUAGGCUGCUCUGCUCUGACAACCUCUUCGGGGUAAAUUUCUUUUCCAUUUGAACAGCUUCUCCUUAGUUAAGGAGAAACCGUUAUUGCCCGGUUGCUUUUUCGUCUUUUGGAUGGAGAGAAGCAGAGGAAUUCUGGGCGGAGGCCAACGAUUAGCUGCAACAUCUACUGAUCACUUCCAUGAAGUCUUUGAGCCUUUGUAUAAAUAAAACACCAGCCGGGGGCUCCUUCUGCUCCCAUUGAUGCCCGAGUGCCAACUACAGGUUUGACUCUGAGACCCUCCUUAAAAAAUUAGGAAAAAAAAUUUUUAAAACGUUUUUAAAUUGGAUUUUUAUUGCCUAAGGAGGGAUCUGUAAAAUACGUAGAGUGGGAAGAAUGCAGAUAAAUAAGACCUGAAAGUUGUCCUCAAAUAUAUCAAAGCCAUACUGGAUAGUGGACCUGCUGGAGAAUAGAAAAAUAAACUGUUGAAUGCC
RNAcentral lists this long non-coding RNA (1544 nucleotides) under Sus scrofa (pig). Its description in RNAcentral is "lncRNA (ENSSSCG00005011493.1)". Lineage: Eukaryota; Metazoa; Chordata; Mammalia; Artiodactyla; Suidae. The record is from RNAcentral.